Molecule: ribosomal RNA, 461 nt
Filed under: uncultured bacterium
Lineage: Bacteria
Description: bacterial SSU rRNA
Rfam family: Bacterial small subunit ribosomal RNA
Source: RNAcentral
UACGGGAGGCAGCAGUGGGGAAUAUUGGACAAUGGGCGGAAGCCUGAUCCAGCCAUGCCGUGUGUGUGAAGAAGGCCUUUUGGUUGUAAAGCACUUUAAGCGAGGAGGAGGCUACUAGUAUUAAUACUACUGGAUAGUGGACGUUACUCGCAGAAUAAGCACCGGCUAACUCUGUGCCAGCAGCCGCGGUAAUACAGAGGGUGCGAGCGUUAAUCGGAUUUACUGGGCGUAAAGCGUGCGUAGGCGGCUUUUUUAAGUCGGAUGUGAAAUCCCCGAGCUUAACUUGGGAAUUGCAUUCGAUACUGGGAAGCUAGAGUAUGGGAGAGGAUGGUAGAAUUCCAGGUGUAGCGGUGAAAUGCGUAGAGAUCUGGAGGAAUACCGAUGGCGAAGGGCAGCCAUCUGGGCCUAAUCUGACGCUGAGGUCGAAAGCAUGGGGAGGCAAACAAGGGAAUUAGGAUACC